This 372-nucleotide ribosomal RNA is filed under the name uncultured organism. Its description in RNAcentral is "bacterial SSU rRNA". It matches the Rfam family "Bacterial small subunit ribosomal RNA", at positions 526 to 896 of the family's 1533-position model. The record is from RNAcentral.
CAGAGGGUGCGAGCGUUGUCGGAUUACUGGGCGUAAAGCGCGCGCAGGCGGCCUUUUAAGUCUACCCGUGAAAUGCCGGGGCUCAACUCCGUGCACGCCGGGGAUACUGGGAGGCUGGAGACAUGUAGAGGCAAGCGGAAUUCCGGGUGUAGCGGUGGAAUGCUGGAGAUCCGGAAGAACACCUGAGGCGAAGGCGGCUUGCUGGGCAUGAUCUGACGCUGAGGCGCGAAAGCGUGGGGAGCGAACAGGAUUAGAUACCCUGGUAGUCCACGCCGUAAACGAUGGGCACUAGACGCGGGUGGGAUCGACCCCUUCCGUGUCGCAGCUAACGCGCUAAGUCGCCCCCGCCUGGGGAGUACGGCCGCAAGGCUG